Molecule: small nucleolar RNA, 107 nt
Filed under: Olea europaea subsp. europaea
Lineage: Eukaryota; Viridiplantae; Streptophyta; Magnoliopsida; Lamiales; Oleaceae
Description: Plant small nucleolar RNA R71
Rfam family: Plant small nucleolar RNA R71
About the family: R71 is a member of the C/D box family of snoRNAs containing the C (UGAUGA) and D (CUGA) box motifs.
Source: Rfam by way of RNAcentral
AAACCAUGGUGGGGGCAGAGGGCAUGCAAUUCUUUGUACGUUUCCCACACUUGAUAUAAAGUUCCACUCUCCUUUCGAGUAAAAGAAGAUAUUUGCUUUUUCAAUGC